RNAcentral lists this ribosomal RNA (373 nucleotides) under uncultured organism. RNAcentral describes it as "partial 16S ribosomal RNA". It matches the Rfam family "Bacterial small subunit ribosomal RNA", at positions 527 to 896 of the family's 1533-position model. The record is from RNAcentral.
GUAGGUGGCAAGCGUUGUCCGGAAUUAUUGGGCGUAAAGCGCGCGCAGGCGGUCCUUUAAGUCUGAUGUGAAAGCCCACGGCUCAACCGUGGAGGGUCAUUGGAAACUGGGGGACUUGAGUACAGAAGAGGAAAGCGGAAGUUCCAAGUGUAGCGGUGAAAUGCGUAGAGAUUUGGAGGAACACCAGUGGCGAAGGCGGCUUUCUGGUCUGUAACUGACGCUGAGGCGCGAAAGCGUGGGGAGCAAACAGGGAUUAGAUACCCUGGUAGUCCACGCCGUAAACGAUGAGUGCUAAGUGUUAGGGGGUUUCCGCCCCCUUAGUGCUGCAGCUAACGCAUUAAGCACUCCGCCUGGGGAUACGGCCGCAAGGCUG